This 585-nucleotide ribosomal RNA is filed under the name uncultured bacterium. RNAcentral describes it as "bacterial SSU rRNA". It matches the Rfam family "Bacterial small subunit ribosomal RNA", at positions 338 to 916 of the family's 1533-position model. The record is from RNAcentral.
CCUACGGGAGGCAGCAGUGGGGAAUAUUGCGCAAUGGGGGAAACCCUGACGCAGCAACGCCGCGUGAGUGAGGAAGGACUUCGGUCUGUAAAGCUCUGUUAAUGAGGAAAAAUGGUAGUUGGUCUAAUAGGCCGAUUAUUUGAUGGUACUCAUAGAGGAAGCACCGGCUAACUUCGUGCCAGCAGCCGCGGUAAUACGAAGGGUGCAAGCGUUGUUCGGAUUUAUUGGGCGUAAAGCGCGCGUAGGCGGACCUGCAAGUAAGAUGUGAAAUCUCGAGGCUCAACCUCGAAACUGCGUCUUAAACUACAGGUCUAGAAUCUCGGAGGGGGAAGGGGAAUUUCGCAUGUAGGGGUAAAAUCCGUAGAUAUGCGAAGGAACACCAGAGGCGAAGGCGCCUUCCUGGACGAGUAUUGACGCUGAGGCGCGAAAGCGUGGGGAUCAAACAGGAUUAGAUACCCUGGUAGUCCACGCUGUAAACGAUGAACACUAGGUAUUGGAGGAUUUGACCCCUUCAGUGCCGUAGCUAACGCGUUAAGUGUUCCGCCUGGGAAGUACGGUCGCAGACUAAACUUAAGGAAUUGACGG